AGUGAACGCUGGCGGUAGGCCUAACACAUGCAAGUCGAACGGCAGCACAGUAAGAGCUUGCUCUUACGGGUGGCGAGUGGCGGACGGGUGAGGAAUACAUCGGAAUCUACUUUUUCGUGGGGGAUAACGUAGGGAAACUUACGCUAAUACCGCAUACGACCUACGGUUGAAAGCAGGGGAUCUUCGGACCUUGCGCGAUUGAAUGAGCCGAUGUCGGAUUAGCUAGUUGGAGGGGUAAAGGCCCACCAAGGCGACGAUCCGUAGCUGGUCUGAGAGGAUGAUCAGCCACACUGGAACUGAGACACGGUCCAGACUCCUACGGGAGGCAGCAGUGGGGAAUAUAGGACAAUGGGCGGAAGCAUGAUCAAGACAUACCGCGUGAGUGAAGAAGGCAUUCGGGUUGUAAAGCCCUUUUGUUGGGAAAGAAAAGCAGCAGGUUAAAAAACCGCUGUUCUGACGGUACCAAAAGAAUAAGCACCGGCUAACUUCGUG
This 492-nucleotide ribosomal RNA is filed under the name uncultured bacterium. Its description in RNAcentral is "partial 16S ribosomal RNA". It matches the Rfam family "Bacterial small subunit ribosomal RNA", at positions 29 to 507 of the family's 1533-position model. The record is from RNAcentral.